GAUUCCUGUUGAGCUACUUCCAGAGGCAACCGUCCUUGUAAUGAAUUCUCUCCAUCAGAAAAUUAGAUGGGAUUUUGACUCCUUUCACAGAUGACACCAUUGAUUCUACCUAAAUUGGAUGGACUCAGUGCCUACCUCCCAUCCUCAGAACGCAGCAGGACUCAGAAUCUAGUGCUGGGACAUGGCAAACCAUGUCAGAUAAAGAAAUUGAGACCCAGAAAACUUGGGAAAUUUGCUCAAAUUCACACAUAAAUAAAGAAUGGAGUUGUGAAUGGAAGCCGAGCUGUUGGAAUCUAAGAAUUCAGGAUACUGUUUGAGAAGAUAAAGUGUUUCAGGCCUUCCCUGGUGGCGCAGUGGUUGAGAAUCUGACUGCUAAUGCAGGGGACACGGGUUCGAACCCUGGUCUGGGAGGAUUCCACAUGCCAUGGAGCCACUAGGCCCGUGAGCCACAACUACUGAGCCUGCACAUCUGGAGCCUGUGCUCCACAACGAGAGGCCGCGAUAGU
This is a long non-coding RNA of Lagenorhynchus albirostris (white-beaked dolphin), 506 nucleotides long. RefSeq lists it as uncharacterized. Lineage: Eukaryota; Metazoa; Chordata; Mammalia; Artiodactyla; Delphinidae. The transcript has 3 exons. The record is from RefSeq and is a predicted model, not a curated record.